UCUCAAGGGAAAAAUGCUCAAAACACUGCCGUACUGCUUAAAUCAGCGAAACAUUUCCCACAGCUCCCCGUCGCCAUUUCUGCUUUGGUUGCGUGGUGCUUGCAAACACAACAAAAUAGUGAUCAUAAAGACGCGAAAGCGAAGAAGAAAGAAGCCAGCCCAGCCUACAGGCUCACAGCUGGAAGGCGCUUCUGCUCUGCCCUGGGCCUUUCUUGGAGGAGUCAGUGAUAACUUGCAGUAACUCAUGUUCCUGAUUCCAUAAGGCAUUUUCUUGGCACUUGCUAGUGCAACACAAUAAACCAUGGGAAUAUUAGUGGAGUUCCUCCUUCUGUUGGUACGCCAAGGGGGACUGGAGCUCCACCACACUGUAAUUUGCCAUGUCAUGGAUGUUAAUGUCAUUACAUCCUGAAGUUGAUGAAGCCAUUUGUGCUGUCUUAAUUAUAAAGGGCUAUGUCACUGUUAAUGUAAUCUAAUCUCAGUGGACAGCACUCAUCUUCAACCCAGUGUUAUGAUUAUAUUGAAC
This is a long non-coding RNA of Cyprinus carpio carpio, 523 nucleotides long. The record is from Ensembl. NCBI's taxonomy places the organism in Eukaryota, Metazoa, Chordata, Actinopteri, Cypriniformes, Cyprinidae.